Molecule: long non-coding RNA, 2807 nt
Organism: Pan troglodytes (chimpanzee)
Lineage: Eukaryota; Metazoa; Chordata; Mammalia; Primates; Hominidae
Source: Ensembl
AUGAGCCAGGCACUGAUCCACAGGCUUUUGUACUCAACUCUGACAACAACCCUAAGAGGUAGCUAUCAUUAUAUCCCCCAUUUUAUUAAGAAGAAAACAAUAGCACAGAGAAGGGCUCAGGAGGCGGGGCCAGGGCGGGGCGUUGACUAUGUCGUAGCACGUGACCAGGCGGUGCUCGGACUCUGGGAGGCAGAGCUUAGGGCGGGCCGAUGUGGGGAGGGGCCCAGGGUCCGGGAGGCGGGUCCGAGUCUGGGCUGCGGGCUGCGCUCAGGAGGCGGGCCCUGGGGUAUGGCCAGGCGGUUAUUGCUGUGCUUUUAGACAGAAUCAACGGUUUCUGGGUCUGAGAUAUUGCAUAUACCCUCUCAGUCCCUGUAUCCUGAGAUGGAGUCACCUGAGAAUCCACAGCAAGUCCUAACCAGGGAUGGGUCUGCGUGGUUAAGGAAGGUUGGCUUCAGAACUGGGCCAGGGGCACUGCUUUGCUUUUGCUGUUUUGAUCAGCUCUCUGCCUGCAGGAGACAAGGAAAACCAAUGGGAACAGGUUAGUUACNNNNNNNNNNNNNNNNNNNNNNNNNNNNNNNNNNNNNNNNNNNNNNNNNNNNNNNNNNNNNNNNNNNNNNNNNNNNNNNNNNNNNNNNNNNNNNNNNNNNAAAAAAAAAAAAAAAAAAAAAAAGGAGACCCAAAUAAAUACAUUCAGAAAUGAAAAAGGAGACAUUACAACUGUUACCAAAGAAAUAAAAAGGAUCAUUAGAGGGUAUCAUGAACAACCAUAUGCUAACAAAUUGGAAAACCUAGAGGAAAGGGAUAAAUUCCCAGACAUACAGAGCCUACCAAGAUUGAACUAGGAAGAAACAGAAAACCUGAACUGACCCAAAAUGAAUAGCAGGUUUGAAUCAGUAACAAAAAGUCUCCCAAAAGAGAAAAGCCCUAGACUAGUCUUUUAUGCUGAUUUCUACCCAAUUUAUAAAGAAAAACAAACAACAGUUCUUCUCAAAUUAUCCCAAAAAUUGAAGAGGAGGGAAUUCUUCCUAACUCAUUGUAUAAGGCCAGCAUUACCCUGAUAUCCAAUCAAGACAAGAACACAACACAAAGAGAAAACUACAGGCCAAUAUUCCUAAUGAACACAGAUGGAAAAAUUCUCAGCAUAAUACUACCAAGCCAAAUCUAAUGGUGAAUGAAAAAGAUAAAAUACCAUGAUCAAGUGGGAUUUAUCCCAGGAAUGCAAAGAUGGCUCAACAUACACAAAUCAAUACAUGUGAUACAUCACAUCAACAAGAUGAAAGGCAAAAACUAUCUGAUCAUCUCAGCAGAUGCAGAAAAAUCACUCAGUAAAACUUACCAUUCCUUCAUGAUGAAAACUCUCAACAAAUUAUGCAUAGAAGGAACACUUCAACAUAAGAAAAGGCAUACAUGACAAAUCUACUGCUAACAUCCUACUCACUGGGAAAAAUUGAAAAGCCUUUCCUCUAAGAACUGGAACAAGACAAGGAUGCCCGCUUUCACCACUCUUAUUCAACACAGUAUGGGACAUCCAAGCCAGAGUGAUCAGACAAGAUAAAGAAAUAAAAGGCAUCCAAAAUGGACAAGAGGAAGUCAAAUUGUCUCACUUUGCAGAUGACAUAAUCUUAUAUUUGUAAACAGGAAAACCUAAAGACUCCACCAAAAACCUCUGAAAAUGGAUAAAUUAGGCUGGACAUGGUAGUUCAUGCCUGUAAUCCCAGCACUUUGGGAGGCCAAGGUGGGCAGAUCACCUGAGGUUGGGAGUUUGAGACCAGCCUGGACAACAUGGUGAAACCCUGUCUCUACUAAAAAUACAGUUAGCCAGGCAUGCUGGUAGGUGCCUAUAAUCCCAGCACCACUGCACUCCAGCCUGGGCAACAGAGUGAGACUCUAUCUCAAAAAAGAAAAAAGAAAAAAAAAAUUUAAAAACGGAUGUAUAAUUCAGUAAAGCUUCAGGACACAAAAUCAACAUACAAAAAUCAGUAAUAUUUCUAUAUACCAGUAACAAACUAGCUAAAAUAGAAAUCAAGGAAGAAAUUCUAUUUACAAUAGCUACAAAAAUAAAAUACCUAGGAAUAAACUUAACCAAGGAUGGGGAAAAAAAACCCAAAAAACAUCUACAAUGACAACCACAAGACACUGAUAAAAUAAAUUGAGAAGGACUUGAACAAAUGGAAAGGCAUCUCAUGCUCGUGGGUUGGAAUAACUAAUACUGUUAAAAUGACCAUGCUACCCGAAGCAAUCUAGAGAUUCAGUACAAUCCCUAUCAAUUAUAUUCUUUACAGAAACAGGAAAAAAAAACCCUGAAAUUCAUAUGGAACCACAGAAGACCCCAAAUAGGCAAAGCAAUACUGUGCAAAAAGAACAAAGCUAGAAGCCUCACACUACCUGAUUUAAAAAUAUACUGCAAAGCGGCCGGGUGCGGUGGCUCAUGCCUGUAAUCCCAGCACUUUGGGAGGCCGAGGCGGGUGGAUCACAAAGUCAGGAGAUCGAGACCAUCCUGGCUAACACGGUGGAGCCCCGUGCCCACAAAAAAACAAAACAAAACAAACAAACAAAAAAAAACGCCAGGUGUGGUGGUGGGCACCUGUAGUCCCAGCUACUCAGGAGGCUGAGGCAGGAGAAUGGCAUGAACCUGGGAGGCAGAGCUUACAGUGAGCCAAGAUCGUGCCACUGCACUCCAGACUGGGUGACAGAGCAAGACUCCGUCUCAAAAAAAAAAAAAAAAUAUAUAUAUAUAUAUAUAUUUAUAUAUUUAUAUAUUUAUAAAUUUAUAUAUAUAAAUUUAUAUAUUUAUAAAUUUAUAUAUA